Molecule: ribosomal RNA, 427 nt
Filed under: uncultured Bacillus sp.
Lineage: Bacteria; Bacillati; Bacillota; Bacilli; Caryophanales; Bacillaceae
Description: bacterial SSU rRNA
Rfam family: Bacterial small subunit ribosomal RNA
Source: RNAcentral
UAGGGAAUCUUCCGCAAUGGACGAAAGUCUGACGGAGCAACGCCGCGUGAGUGAUGAAGGUUUUCGGAUCGUAAAACUCUGUUGUCAGGGAAGAACAAGUAUCGGAGUAACUGCCGGUACCUUGACGGUACCUGACCAGAAAGCCACGGCUAACUACGUGCCAGCAGCCGCGGUAAUACGUAGGUGGCAAGCGUUGUCCGGAAUUAUUGGGCGUAAAGCGCGCGCAGGCGGUUUCUUAAGUCUGAUGUGAAAGCCCACGGCUCAACCGUGGAGGGUCAUUGGAAACUGGGAAACUUGAGUGCAGAAGAGGAGAGUGGAAUUCCACGUGUAGCGGUGAAAUGCGUAGAGAUGUGGAGGAACACCAGUGGCGAAGGCGACUCUCUGGUCUGUAACUGACGCUGAGGCGCGAAAGCGUGGGUAGCGAACA